AAGUCGAUGUUUAUGGUCAAAGUAGGGAGCAACUUGGUGGAUUUGGUCAAAGUUGAUGGUUUUGGUCAAAGUUGGUAGAAUCUUGUUGGAUUUCUUCAAAGUUGAUGGUUUUGGUCAAAGUAGGGAGAAACUUGCUGGUUUUGGUCAAAGUUGAUGGUUUUGGUCAAAGUAGGGAGAAUCUUGAUGUUUUCGGUCAAAGUUGAUGUUUUUGGUCAAAGUUGGUAGAAACUUGAAGUUUGCGACAAAAGUUGAUGUUUUCGGUCAAAGUUGAUGUUUUUGGUCAAAGUUGGUGGAAACUUGAAGUUUGCGACCAAAGUUGAUGAUUUUGGUCAAAGUUGAUGUUUUUGGUCAAAGUUGGUAGAACUCGAAGUUUGCGACCAAAGUUGAUGUUUUCGGUCAAAGUUGAUGUUUUUGGUCAAAGUAGUGAAAACUUGAAGUUUGCGACCAAAGUUGAUGUUUUCGGUUAAAGUUGAUGUUUUUGGUCAAAGUUGGUAGAAACUUGAAGUUUGCGACCAAAGUUGAUGUUUUCGGUCAAAGUUGAUGUUUUUGGUCAAAGUAAUGGAAGCUUGAAGUUUGCGACCAAAGUUGAUGUUUUUGGUCAAAGAUGAGGUUUUUGGUCAAAGUUGGUGGAAACUUGAAGUUUGCGACCAAAGUUGAUGUUUUCGGUCAAAGUUGAUGUUUUUGGUCAAAGUUGGUAGAAACUCGAAAUUUGCGACCAAAGUUGAUGUUUUCGGUCAAAGUUGAUGUUUUUGGUCAAAGUUGGUAGAAACUUGAAGUUUGCGACCAAAGUUGAUGUUUUCGGCCAAAGAUGAUGUUUUUGGUCAAAGUUGGUAGAAACUUGAAGUUUGCGACCAAAGUUGAUGUUUUCGGUCAAAGUUGAUGUUUUUGGUCAAAGUUGGUAGAAACUUGAAGUUUGCGACCAAAGUUGAUGUUUUCGGUCAAAGUUGAUGUUUUUGGUCAAAGUUAAUAGAAACUUGAAGUUUGCGACCAAAGUUGAUGUUUUCGGUCAAAGUUGAGGUUUUUGGUCAAAGUUGGUGGAAACUUGAAGUUUGCGACCAAAGUUGAUGUUUUCGGUCAAAGUUGAUGUUUUUGGUCAAAGUUGGUAGAAACUCGAAAUUUGCGACCAAAGUUGAUGUUUUCGGUCAAAGUUGAUGUUUUUGGUCAAAGUUGGUAGAAACUUGAAGUUUGCGACCAAAGUUGAUGUUUUCGGCCAAAGAUGAUGUUUUUGGUCAAAGUUGGUAGAAACUUGAAGUUUGCGACCAAAGUUGAUGUUUUCGGUCAAAGUUGAUGUUUUUGGUCAAAGUUGGUAGAAACUUGAAGUUUGCGACCAAAGUUGAUGUUUUCGGUCAAAGUUGAUGUUUUUGGUCAAAGUUGGUGAAAGCUUGAAGUUUGCGACCAAAGUUGAUGUUUUCGGUCAAAGUUGAGGUUUUUGGUCAAAGUUGGUGGAAACUUGAAGUUUGCGACCAAAGUUGAUGUUUUCGGUCAAAGUUGGUGGAAACUUGAAGUUUGCGACCAAAGUUGAUGUUUUCGGUCAAAGUUGAUGUUUUCGGUCAAAGUUGGUAGAAACUUGAAUUUGCGACUAAAGUUGAUGUUUUUGGUCAAAGUUGGUGGAAACUUGAAGUUUGCGACCAAAGUUGAUGUUUUCGGUCAAAGUUGAUGUUUUUGGUCAAAGUUGGUAGAAUCUUGAAGUUUGCGACUUAAGUUGAUGUUUUC
This is a long non-coding RNA of Anopheles funestus (African malaria mosquito), 1713 nucleotides long. RefSeq lists it as uncharacterized. NCBI's taxonomy places the organism in Eukaryota, Metazoa, Arthropoda, Insecta, Diptera, Culicidae. The record is from RefSeq and is a predicted model, not a curated record. The transcript has 7 exons.